AUUUAUAUAGUUUAAAAAAACAUUGCAUUUUCACUGUAAAAUUAAGAAAAAUUUUCUUUAUAAAUU
Molecule: transfer RNA, 66 nt
Filed under: Demonax pseudonotabilis
Lineage: Eukaryota; Metazoa; Arthropoda; Insecta; Coleoptera; Cerambycidae
Description: tRNA-Glu
Source: RNAcentral